This is a long non-coding RNA of Aethalodelphis obliquidens (Pacific white-sided dolphin), 314 nucleotides long. RefSeq lists it as uncharacterized. NCBI's taxonomy places the organism in Eukaryota, Metazoa, Chordata, Mammalia, Artiodactyla, Delphinidae. The transcript is spliced from 4 exons. The record is from RefSeq and is a predicted model, not a curated record.
UCCUUUACUGGGUCUGAGAUUUCCACCAUGAAAAUUCACUUCUUAGGUUGGACAAAACAUGAGAGUUAUUGCUUUGAAAAGACUAUUGCUAAAAUGCUUAUGUGUCAGCUGGGAGAAGCAGGUCUUAUUUUCUUAUCAGAAGAAUAGACGGACCUGAGUUAUGAUGUAAACUUCUAUCUUUUUUUUUCUGGCUUCCUAUUUAGAGAAUGAGAACAUAUGAAGUGCAUGCAUAUACCUGGCGUCCAGUGACGGCUAAGGAUCCAAAUGAAUUCUAGUUGGCAAGGAGAGAGGAAAAGAGCUGACACAUCACUGUC